This 497-nucleotide ribosomal RNA is filed under the name uncultured bacterium. RNAcentral describes it as "partial 16S ribosomal RNA". It matches the Rfam family "Bacterial small subunit ribosomal RNA", at positions 28 to 507 of the family's 1533-position model. The record is from RNAcentral.
GAUGAACGCUGGCGGCGUGCCUAAUACAUGCAAGUCGAGCGAACAGACGAGGAGCUUGCUCCUCUGACGUUAGCGGCGGACGGGUGAGUAACACGUGGAUAACCUACCUAUAAGACUGGGAUAACUUCGGGAAACCGGAGCUAAUACCGGAUAAUAUAUUUAACCGCAUGGUUCAAUAGUGAAAGACGGUUUUGCUGUCACUUAUAGAUUGAUCCGCGCCGCAUUAGCUAGUUGGUAAGGUAACGGCUUACCAAGGCAACGAUGCGUAGCCGACCUGAGAGGGUGAUCGGCCACACUGGAACUGAGACACGGUCCAGACUCCUACGGGAGGCAGCAGUAGGGAAUCUUCCGCAAUGGGCGAAAUCCUGACGGAGCAACGCCGCGUGAGUGAUGAAGGUCUUCGGAUCGUAAAACUCUGUUAUUAGGGAAGAAGAAAUGUGUAAGUAACUAUGCACGUCUUGACGGUACCUAAUCAGAAAGCCACGGCUAACUACGUG